Molecule: long non-coding RNA, 358 nt
Organism: Amphibalanus amphitrite
Lineage: Eukaryota; Metazoa; Arthropoda; Thecostraca; Balanomorpha; Balanidae
Exons: 4
Source: RefSeq, a predicted model, not a curated record
CAGCACCACCGGCUCCGGAAUCACCACCACCAGCCUCCAUCCCCUGCCAGCUUUGGCAGCACCACCACCAGCACCGCCGGCCUCAGGACCAAGCCCACCACCUGCGGGCGUUGACGGAGGCGGGUGUGCGGCUCUGGCGCAGCUGAGCCGUCGACCGCCGGAGCCAAUCCGGCAGUCCGGCAUUUCAGCUGCCGCACACUCGCCCGUCACAGGAUCAGAGGCCUCCCGAGACAGCCAUCACGAUCAGCUGGUGUAGGCCAUCCACGACAGAUGAGUGCUAUACAAGCCUGCCUCCGCCGUGCUUGGAGAGCUGUCUCACCCAACGGCCGUUUGUGCCGCCACCAAUCGGCUGCGAGUA